UACGAAGGGGGCUAGCGUUGCUCGGAAUCACUGGGCGUAAAGCGCACGUAGGCGGCUUACUAAGUCAGGGGUGAAAUCCUGGAGCUCAACUCCAGAACUGCCUUUGAUACUGCAAAUCUCGAGUCCGGAAGAGGUGAGUGGAAUUCCUAGUGUAGAGGUGAAAUUCGUAGAUAUUAGGAAGAACACCAGUGGCGAAGGCGGCUCACUGGUCCGGUGCUGACGCUGAGGUGCGAAAGCCAGGGGAGCAAACGGG
Molecule: ribosomal RNA, 253 nt
Filed under: uncultured bacterium
Lineage: Bacteria
Description: partial 16S ribosomal RNA
Rfam family: Bacterial small subunit ribosomal RNA
Source: RNAcentral